This 536-nucleotide long non-coding RNA is filed under the name Cyanistes caeruleus (blue tit). RNAcentral's name for it is "lncRNA (ENSCCEG00000021683.1)". Lineage: Eukaryota; Metazoa; Chordata; Aves; Passeriformes; Paridae. The record is from RNAcentral.
AUUAUAUGGUAUAAUUUUCAAAGAUUUCUAGUGAAUGUCCAAAUAUGUUAAAAACCACAUUACCCCGAAUAGAACAACUAACGCCUAUUUAUCUGUAACAACAGGGAACAAUAAAAAAUUAGCAUGGCUUGACACAAAAGGAUUGUGUGCAGAGGAAUGGUGUGGAAGCCCCCAGAUCCCUGUGCUUGGAAACUGCUGUUUCCUUUCCUGGCAUGCUGAAAAAGCAGGAAAUAUGCCAAGUUACUGUCGGACCCCUUGAAGAAAAACCUGGCAGCUCCCCCCAUUCCUGUGUGGCUACUGAGCAAUUCCAGUUUCCUGCUGAGCACCAGCCAUGGCAAAGCACAGGCUGUGGAACUGCUGGGGCAGAGCUCCCACAAGAACUCCAGUCAUCCAUCCCUGACCAAAGCUGCCUCCCACAAGGACACACAUUGGAAUUGGAAAAGGCUGAGAUGGAGGAUCCAUUGCUUCUUUGUUCAUGCUGUAGCUGCACAAGUCAGUAUUGCCACUCCUAUGGCAUUCUUGUGUUUUGCCAUUAG